AUUGAACGCUGGCGGCAGGCCUAACACAUGCAAGUCGAACGGUAACAGGAAGAAGCUUGCUUCUUUGCUGACGAGUGGCGGACGGGUGAGUAAUGUCUGGGAAACUGCCUGAUGGAGGGGGAUAACUACUGGAAACGGUAGCUAAUACCGCAUAACGUCGCAAGACCAAAGAGGGGGACCUUCGGGCCUCUUGCCAUCGGAUGUGCCCAGAUGGGAUUAGCUUGUUGGUGGGGUAACGGCUCACCAAGGCGACGAUCCCUAGCUGGUCUGAGGGGAUGACCAGCCACAUUGGAACUGAGACACGGUCCAGACUCCUACGGGAGGCAGCAGUGGGGAAUAUUGCACAAUGGGCGCAAGCCUGAUGCAGCCAUGCCGCGUGUAUGAAGAAGGCCUUCGGGUUGUAAAGUACUUUCAGCGGGGAGGAAGGGAGUAAAGUUAAUACCUUUGCUCAUUGACGUUACCCGCAGAAGAAGCACCGGCUAACUCCGUGCCAGCAGCCGCGGUAAUACGGAGGGUGCAAGCGUUAAUCGGAAUUACUGGGCGUAAAGCGCACGCAGGCGGUUUGUUAAGUCAGAUGUGAAAUCCCCGGGCUCAACCUGGGAACUGCAUCUGAUACUGGCAAGCUUGAGUCUCGUAGAGGGGGGUAGAAUUCCAGGUGUAGCGGUGAAAUGCGUAGAGAUCUGGAGGAAUACCGGUGGCGAAGGCGGCCCCCUGGACGAAGACUGACGCUCAGGUGCGAAAGCGUGGGGAGCAAACAGGAUUAGAUACCCUGGUAGUCCACGCCGUAAACGAUGUCGACUUGGAGGUUGUGCCCUUGAGGCGUGGCUUCCGGAGCUAACGCGUUAAGUCGACCGCCUGGGGAGUACGGCCGCAAGGUUAAAACUCAAAUGAAUUGACGGGGGCCCGCACAAGCGGUGGAGCAUGUGGUUUAAUUCGAUGCAACGCGAAGAACCUUACCUGGUCUUGACAUCCACGGAAGUUUUCAGAGAUGAGAAUGUGCCUUCGGGAACCGUGAGACAGGUGCUGCAUGGCUGUCGUCAGCUCGUGUUGUGAAAUGUUGGGUUAAGUCCCGCAACGAGCGCAACCCUUAUCCUUUGUUGCCAGCGGUCCGGCCGGGAACUCAAAGGAGACUGCCAGUGAUAAACUGGAGGAAGGUGGGGAUGACGUCAAGUCAUCAUGGCCCUUACGACCAGGGCUACACACGUGCUACAAUGGCGCAUACAAAGAGAAGCGACCUCGCGAGAGCAAGCGGACCUCAUAAAGUGCGUCGUAGUCCGGAUUGGAGUCUGCAACUCGACUCCAUGAAGUCGGAAUCGCUAGUAAUCGUGGAUCAGAAUGCCACGGUGAGUACGUUCCCGGGCCUUGUACACACCGCCCGUCACACCAUGGGAGUGGGUUGCAAAAGAAGUAGGUAGCUUAACCUUCGGGAGGGCGCUUACCACUUUGUGAUUCAUGACUGGGGUGAAGUC
Molecule: ribosomal RNA, 1469 nt
Filed under: uncultured bacterium
Lineage: Bacteria
Description: bacterial SSU rRNA
Rfam family: Bacterial small subunit ribosomal RNA
Source: RNAcentral